GUAGGUGAACCUGCGGAAGGAUCAUUAUUGAAUUUUGUUGUCUGGCUUCGGUCGACAACUCUUCAUAUCCAUAACACCUGUGCACUGUUGGAUGCUUGCAUCCAAUUUUAUACUAAACAAUAUUGUAACAAAUGUAGUCUUAUUAUAACAUAAUAAAACUUUUAACAACGGAUCUCUUGGCUCUC
RNAcentral lists this unclassified non-coding RNA (185 nucleotides) under rhizosphere metagenome. RNAcentral describes it as "partial ribosomal RNA internal transcribed spacer region". The record is from RNAcentral.